Non-coding RNA from Podarcis lilfordi (Lilford's wall lizard), 72 nucleotides. NCBI's taxonomy places the organism in Eukaryota, Metazoa, Chordata, Lepidosauria, Squamata, Lacertidae. The record is from the annotation of a GenBank genome assembly.
AGAGUUACAGCUCAGUUGCAGAGCAUCUGCUUUGCAUGCAGAAGGUCCCAGGUUUGAUCCCUGGCACCUCUA